GGAACUAUAGGUUAAACGUUAUCAAACCAUUGGCCUUCAAAGCCGAAAAUGAGUAGUCUAGUUUCG
RNAcentral lists this transfer RNA (66 nucleotides) under Asteronotus hepaticus. RNAcentral's name for it is "tRNA-Trp". The record is from RNAcentral. Lineage: Eukaryota; Metazoa; Mollusca; Gastropoda; Nudibranchia; Asteronotidae.